Molecule: non-coding RNA, 740 nt
Organism: Arachis ipaensis
Lineage: Eukaryota; Viridiplantae; Streptophyta; Magnoliopsida; Fabales; Fabaceae
Source: RefSeq, a predicted model, not a curated record
GGAUCAGAAUUGGAAACUCUUAAGGUUCACAAGUCUUUCAUGCUAAUUCUCUUACCUGAUUGUGCCUUAAGCAAUUCAUCAACAUCAUGCAAUGGAGUUUCUUAUUGCAGAUCGAAAAAGAGAAACUUCAACAGCACAAACAAGUUUAUCUGUUCUAUGCUACCUGAAUCACCUUCCCUAUUAAUUUCAUACUCUCCAGGUAAUCAAAUUAAUUAAUAAACCGAGGGCUUAUGUUCAAGCCAUGAGGGAGUAACUUGCAGCAUGCAAGGGCUUAUGUUUAAGAUUUGUUGGCCAUGAAUUAAUUGAAUUCCUAAUGUUAAGAUAUGCUCAAUUCAAUCCCGAGAAUCCCAAAGAGGACACUGGUGAUUUUAGAAUUGCAUCUUCAGCUACUAAGACGCUCCUUUUUCUUUCCUCGCUUCAUUUCUGAAAUUCAUUUAGUUAUCCUAGCAAUAUUUUGCACUAGAAAGUAAAGUGUUAGUAGUUAGUAACUAGAGCGAGAGAAGCAAGACUUGGAUAUGAUGUGACAUGUUACGACUAUUGUGAUAAUGAUAUUGUCAUGCCUGUUCUGUUUCUGUUUUUGUUUGUGUUUGUAAACUUAACUAGUUAACUAACUAGUUUUGAGUUUUUGCUAUGGAGACAGCAAUGACAUGAAUAAUGUUCAGCUGAAUGAUGAUGUUCUUGGCCUGAUUGUGUUCAAAUCAGACCUCUAUGACCCUUCUUCAUCUCUUGCUUCAUAGAAA